AAAAUAUUGAUUCUUCCCGGGCAUAAGUUUAUUUUAAGAUUUCCGUGUUUGUUCAUUAUGCUAAAUUAAUAUAAUUGAUCUGCAUUUGGGGGUUGGGGGUAAAAGGGGUCCGGAUCUCGAAAUCCCGGGCUUAAAAACACGAAGUCACAAGGUCCCGAAUUUAAAUAAAUUUAAAUCCUGACAUCGCGAAAAAAGAAUUCCCAGAUCCUGAAAGGGUUAAUCCCGAAAUCCCGAACUUAUUUGCAUAAUAUUAAUUUACGCACAAUCCAUGUAACAAAGGAAACUUGUAUGUUAUAUUUUUUAUAGCAAUCUAAAAGAAAAAAUUGCCGUGAAAAGACAAU
This 341-nucleotide long non-coding RNA is filed under the name Mytilus galloprovincialis (Mediterranean mussel). The record is from RNAcentral. Lineage: Eukaryota; Metazoa; Mollusca; Bivalvia; Mytilida; Mytilidae.